UUCUCUUAAGUCAGGUAGUCGGCUUUUAUAGGCAAACUCAGCUAGAGCAAAGUUGUAGUCAUAGAUCGUUUGCAGUAGAUUGUCUUGUUGUGUAGGAACUUAUAGGAGGUUUUAGGACCAGUAGAUCCUUGGCUAGUCUUUGUUGAGCCGACUUUCCACAAUUUAUUUUCAUCGGAUCGUAUGAUGAACUGCAACCCAUAUGCUCACAGCC
This 211-nucleotide long non-coding RNA is filed under the name Elaeis guineensis (African oil palm). RNAcentral's name for it is "long non-coding RNA (EGUI_LNC020700)". The record is from RNAcentral. Lineage: Eukaryota; Viridiplantae; Streptophyta; Magnoliopsida; Arecales; Arecaceae.